CUGCUGUGGGCCUGUGUGGACACACCCACAGUGGCCCCACACAGCCAUGUUUGGAGGCACGUUACUUAAUAUAAGGAAACAGCAGACAGGGAAAUGUGAUUACUGUGGAGAAGAUGAAAGAAUGUUUUAUUCCACUGCCAGAAAUAUGAAGUGAAACUGGUUCUUACUGACACGCUGCAAAGAACUCAACAAGUGAAACAAACAGUCGGACAGUCUGAGUUGGUCUCUGAGGGCAGCUCGCUACAUACCGAACAGUACCAGCAUGACCCUCAACCCUCUGUCCCAGCAUGCAACAGCACAGAGGAUAGCACUGACCACAACAGACUCAUAGACAAUUCUGAGCAUUGGUCAACAGAGACUGUGGCCCUUCCUGUAGAGGGCAGUGGUGUUUUUAACCACGUCCGGUUUAUUAUCAGUGUGUACUCUGAGGUAUUUACCGUCCUCCACAACGUCCACAUCAACCAUGUCCACUGAAAACGAGUGACUCCUGCUGGCUGUGCUCCAGGGGUAAAAUGGGUGGAGUUUAUCUAAACGCAGGAAGGAAAGCUUGAAGAAAGCACCGCUGUGCGUCCAGCACAGAGCCACAGCCUGCUGGGUGAAAGCAAAGAACAAAUACAAAGAGUGUUCACAGCAGCAAACAGGCUGACUGACCUGUGACCCUCACAGACCUCAGUCAUUACUGUUGAUAUGAUGAUGAUGAUGGUGAAACGUUUCUCCCAUGAAGGCGUCCAGAUGAACAGAGUCAACUUUUGGGGAGUAGCUUGACCAGUACGUGUGAUUGUGUUAGCACUAUAAUAUCAGCUGAUAGUGUGCUCUGUCUUGGUCCUUCCAGGCUCCUGCUGAUCUCACUGGGACAGUUUCCUGCUCUGUGAUGGACAGAGAAACCUCCAUGAUGAGCACUGCUGCUGACGAGCUGCUGGGGGCCACUUUCUCCAGGAUAAAGAUUUUGAACCACUAUAAAGAUCAGCUUACAGACCUGACUAAGGAGCUCAAGAAACUAAAGCCAAAAUAUAACAGGACAGGAUGUAUUAAGCUUUUUUCAAGGAGAUCAUCUUCCCCAUCGUCUUGUCCUAAAAUCACUGAAUCACUGGAGAAUCUCAAAAAGGUAGAAGGUGAAAUCAAUGAAGCCCAGCAAAAAAACGAGGAACUGUUUGAGAAGCUGAAGAUUUCUGCAAACAGCCGUGAGCACGUCAUGGAAGAAAUUGUGUCAGCAAUAGCAAAAAGACUUGAUUUCAAGAACCAAAUUAACUUCAGAUCAGCUUCAGCUCGAAGACUCAUCCAUGAAAUGUCUGGAUGUGAGUUUCAGCACAUCCUCGAAGGAAAAGUGGUGGUUGGAUCUGUACAUGGUGGAAAGGAGUUGCCACUUCCUGAAGUCAUUCAAAUGUUGAGAGAAUUAAUCUGGAAGAAUCAUGUGACCGAAGCCAGCGAAUCACUGAGAGCUGCAGCUGACAAGAUCAAAGAGUUCAUCUCAGACCUUAAGCUGGAAUUCAACUACAUUGUAGACAAGGUGAUCAAGCUAGCUCAACAAGCAGGUGAAGAACAGUCUGCCUCUCAAACAACGACUGGUGGUGACAACGAGGAAGAAAGUAAUCAACCAAGUGAGGAGAGUGAUGUUGAUGACACAAAAAAAGAUGAAGACUAUGUGCCCCCAGCUGACUGGCGUGAUAGUGAUGAUGGUAAUGGUGCUGCUAAAAGGAAAUUUAACGAGCAGAAGAAUGCAGGAGAUGCUGGAAGCUGGGUGCUGAUCAAUUGUCGCUCGAUUAACAAUAAAGAGGAAAAAUUGAAGGGUUUAUUAAAGAAAAACAAAGAUGUAUUAAUUAUAACAGAGACGUGGAUAAAAAAUGAAAAGGAGAAGCACAAGGAUGAGGUCCAUCGAGACAUGUCAGAAUCAGAAUCAGAAAGGGUUUUAUUGCCAAAUGUUGAGCAGGUUUACAACAUUAGGGAAUUGCUGCAGUGCUUCAGUGCAAACAUGUCAAUCGAAAAGUACGCACUUUUUCAGUUUCCGAGGGAAGAGAAAACAGGAGGUGGCGUCGCGAUUUUAUUCUUAAAUACCCUUUACAAGGGUAAACAAAUUAAUCUGAUCUCAGCCAAACACUUUGAAUAUGUGGCUGUAGAGCUGGAGCAAACUGGUUACCAACCUGUCCUGGUCAUCGGUGUGUAUCGCCCUCCGAAGACGAAAUUCAAAGAUUUCCAGCCGGAGUUUGAAAGCCUCUUGCAGGACGUUUCUGCAAAAUGCAAAGACUGCAUCAUUUUGGCUGGAGAUUUUAAUAUCUGGUUUGAUGAAAACUUGGAGGACAAAUACAAAAAAUACAAAACAGAAUUUUCAUCUUUAUUGAACAAAUACAGUCUUACGCAACAUGUAAAAAGCCCAACACAUGAAAAAGGUCACAUUUUGGAUCUGGUCAUCAGCAGAAAUGUUGAAGUCUCUGGUCUGAGUGUUCGUAAUGACGACAUAGCAGAUCAUUGCAGUAUAUACUUCAAUGCCACACCAAAGCCCAAACACAGGAAACAAUCUGAAGCAGAGGAGAAUGAAGAUGAAGAUGAGCCCACAAAACGACUGAAAAUUAGGGAAGAGUAGAAAACUUGAUGCACCUAUUUGUCCUUUAAAAGCUGAAAUAUGUUGGACUCGUGGACGCCCGAGCGUUCACCUUUCAGGAUUCAUCAUCAUACACACAUAACACAUCAGGGGGCUGAAUAAUUACGCACACCCCACUUUUCAGUUAUUUAUUUGUUAAAAAUGUUCGGAAUCAUGUCUGAUUUUCGUUCCACUUCUCACAGAUUUGGAGAAGGGUGGCAGAUGUAACUGGCAGAUAAUGUUAAAAACAAUUCUACCAACUGUUCACCAUAAUUCAAUAACCCCGUAAAACUAAUAACUGAAUGUGCUUUUAACUCUUCUUAGAAUGAGAUUUUAACCACUACGGUGCAAAGUUUGUAGAUACUGUGUUGAUAAAGUACAAGAGAUACAAUCAGUCAGUGUUUACUCAGCAGUCAAGGACAUCAAUAUUUGCAUAGUAUUUUUACUGACAUGUUUUGGGAAAAAACAUUUUUGAAUAUUAAAAUACGAACAUUUGUAACAAACAAUUGACAAAUUAGCCAAUGCAAAACUUUAUCUGCCUGUUAAAAAAAGAAGAUAAUCUUCUCACAAACUGGUGUUUGAUUUUGAAACAGGAAAAAAGUGGAGAAACAAAUGAAAAGACUAACAUUUGAAUAAAACCUGAAAGCAAGUAAAUACUUUCUGUGCUGCCUUAUGGUAAACUUUGGUAAUAUUGAUAAAGAACAACACUGGCUGAUGAUGAAAUACAGUCAGCUGGCAUGGUGACACUGCCAGUAUUAACCUGCAGGGCUGGACUGGGACAGAAAAAUUGGCCUUUUGACUAAAGACCGCCCCCCAGGUAUUAAAACCAUAAAGCCUUUGAAUGAAAACAAACCCUGUUGUGACAGUGAUGUACAGUCUUGUUGGUAUAUGUAUGAUUUCUACACAUUCUUUCCCAGUUAAAUUUACCCUUCAUUCUAAUUUGUGUUGUACAGUUAUUUCAUUUUUAACUUUAAUUUUUAUAUUUUAUUUUCUUCCUUCCUAGUUAAAUUUACCCUUUUUAAUUUUCAUAUUUAUUUCCUAUCUUACUCAUAGCCUUUUCUUUUUUCUUUAGGUCACGAGCAGUUGUCUAAGCAUUUCACUGCAUAUCGUACUAUGUAUGACUGUGUACGUGACAAAUAAAAUUUGAAUUUGAUUUGAUUUGAUUUUUACCUCAGAUAAAAACUUUGUUUGCAAGAUUCAGAUAAUUAUUUAAUAAAAGCUAGUGUCAUGAAAUCAAUAUCCUUAGUAUCCUUCUUUUCCUAUUAUAUUGUUUUAUGUACUUUAAUAAUGAAGGCUUGUAGAGCAAGGCCACUUUUGACUCACAAAGUGCUCAGCCAGACUAAAAAACAGGAAGUUUUAGUGCACAGGCAUAUUAAUAGAUAAGACACAGAAAAGAGGAACUUUGCCAUAUAAGCAAUGUUUGAAACUGUGUGACGUGCAAAGUACAGAAAUAAUACCAUAUAAGACACAUGUGGAGCUAAAAAUGUUAGAGCUGCAACUGGCGUUUGAGCUGUGCAGGGGUCUCUCUCUUCCGG
Molecule: long non-coding RNA, 4110 nt
Organism: Astatotilapia calliptera (eastern happy)
Lineage: Eukaryota; Metazoa; Chordata; Actinopteri; Cichliformes; Cichlidae
Source: Ensembl